This 1492-nucleotide ribosomal RNA is filed under the name uncultured Bordetella sp. RNAcentral's name for it is "partial 16S-23S ribosomal RNA intergenic spacer". It matches the Rfam family "Bacterial small subunit ribosomal RNA". Lineage: Bacteria; Pseudomonadati; Pseudomonadota; Betaproteobacteria; Burkholderiales; Alcaligenaceae. The record is from RNAcentral.
AGUUCGAUCAUAAAGCUCAGAUUGAACGCUGGCAGGAUGCUUCACAUGCAGUCGAACGGCAGCACGGACUUCGGUCUGGUGGCGAGUGGCGAACGGGUGAGUAAUGUAUCCGGAACGUGCCUAGUAGCGGGGGAUAACUACGCGAAAGCGUAGCUAAUACCGCAUACGCCCUUCCAGGAAAGCGGGGGACCUUCGGGCCUCGCACUAUUAGAGCGGCCGAUAUCGGAUUAGCUAGUUGUAGAGGUGGAAUUAACGGCUCACCAAGGCGACGAUCCGUAAGCUGGUUUGAGAGGACGACCAGCCACACUGGGACUGAGACACGGCCCAGACUCCUACAGGGGGGCAGCGGUGGGAAUUUUGGACAAUGGGGGAAACCCUGAUCCAGCCAUCCAUGACGUGCGAUGGCCUUCGGGUUGUAAAGCACUUUUGGCAGGAAAGAAACGUACGGGAUAAUACCCGUGCAACUGACGGUACCUGCAGAAUAAGCACCGGCUAACUACGUGCCAGCAGCCGCAGCUACGUAAGUGCAAGCGUUAAUCAGAUGCUGGGCAUAAAGCUUGUGCGCAGGCGGUUCGGAAAAGAAAAGAUGUGAAAUCCCAGAGCUUAACUUUGGAACUGCAUUUUUAACUACCGAGCUAGAGUGUGUCAGAGGGAGGUGGAAUUCCGCAUUGUAGCAGUGAAAUGCGUAGAUAUGCGGAGGAACACCGAUGGCGAAGGCAGCCUCCUGGGAUAACACUGACGCUCAUGCACGAAAGCGUGGGGAGCAAACAGGAUUAGAUACCCUGGUAGUCCACGCCCUAAACGAUGUCCAACCUUGUGUUGGGGCCUUCGGGCCUUGGUAGCGCAGCUAACGCGUGAAGUUGACCGCCUGGGGAGUACGGUCGCAAGAUUAAAACUCAAAAGGAAUUGACAGGGACCCGCACAAGCGGUGGAUGAUGUGGAUUAAUUCGAUGCAACAUGAAAACCUUACCUACCCUUGACAUGUCUGGAAUCCCGAAAAGAGAUUUAGGAGUGCUCGUAAGAGAACCGGAACACAGGUGCUGCAUGGCUGUCGUCAGCUCGUGUCGUGAGAUGUUGGGUUAAGUCCACCAACAGCGCAACCCUUGUCAUUAGUUGCUACGAAGGGCACUCUAAUGAGACUGCCGGUGACAAACCGGAGGAAGGUGGGGAUGACGUCAAGUCCUCAUGGCCCAUAUGGGUAGGGCUUCACACGUCAUACAAUGGUCGGGACAGAGGGUCGCCAACCCGCGAGGGGAGCCAAUCCCAGAAACCCGAUCGUAGUCCCGGAUCGCAGUCUGCAACUCGACUGCGUGAAGUCGGAAUCGCUAGUAAUCGCGGAUCAGCAUGUCGCGGUGAAUACGUUCCCGGGUCUUGUACACACCGCCCGUCACACCAUGGGAGUGGGUUUUACCAGAAGUAGUUAGCCUAACCGUAAGGAGGGCGAUUACCACGGUAGGAUUCACUUGACUGGGGUGAAGUCGUAACAAGGUAG